RNAcentral lists this ribosomal RNA (550 nucleotides) under Fusarium sp. foc3. RNAcentral's name for it is "eukaryotic LSU rRNA". The stretch from base 180 to 333 matches the Rfam family "5.8S ribosomal RNA". The record is from RNAcentral. Lineage: Eukaryota; Fungi; Ascomycota; Sordariomycetes; Hypocreales; Nectriaceae.
CCGGGGGGUUCCUUUUGGAUGCUAUUACCGCCCUUAUACCUCUCAUCACCCCUGUGAACAUACCUAUAACGUUGCCUCGGCGGGAACAGACGGCCCCGUAACACGGGCCGCCCCCGCCAGAGGACCCCCUAACUCUGUUUCUAUAAUGUUUCUUCUGAGUAAACAAGCAAAUAAAUUAAAACUUUCAACAACGGAUCUCUUGGCUCUGGCAUCGAUGAAGAACGCAGCGAAAUGCGAUAAGUAAUGUGAAUUGCAGAAUUCAGUGAAUCAUCGAAUCUUUGAACGCACAUUGCGCCCGCCAGUAUUCUGGCGGGCAUGCCUGUUCGAGCGUCAUUACAACCCUCAGGCCCCCGGGCCUGGCGUUGGGGAUCGGCGGAAGCCCCCUGCGGGCACAACGCCGUCCCCCAAAUACAGUGGCGGUCCCGCCGCAGCUUCCAUUGCGUAGUAGCUAACACCUCGCAACUGGAGAGCGGCGCGGCCACGCCGUAAAACACCCAACUUCUGAAUGUUGACCUCGAAUCAAGUAAGAAUACCCGCUGAACUUAAGCAU